CUCCACUCUAUCUCUCUCAAUCUAGUAGAAACUAGAAGAUCUAUUUCUACCUUACAUUGGUUGCUAAGCCUAAAAAGAAAUAUUAUUUAGAGAAGAGGUUUUCCUUCGAGGGCACCCCUCAAUCUCUAUGAUAAUUUCUUGUCUUCUCCAGGGGCCAGGGGGGUCUCCUUAUAUAGUCCUCCUCCUCUAUGCGUUUUUGGUUCAGCAGGCGAUGUGGUACUAAACUUUCCACCAUAUCUCAUUAAAAUGCACAUAGGCCUUAAUGGACCAAAAUCUGAUUUGGGCCCAAUUAAUCCCGUAGCUCUUUUAUAUGGAGUCCUUCUUUUAUUAAUAUCUCUUGAUUCCGAACUCCAAAUAUAGCAAAUAAUAUAUGCAUUUCGAUCAGCUCGACGAGAUCUUUGCAAUGGUGUACUCUAUUCUAUGAUUGGUGGAAACACCUGGGCGGGCGCCCAAGGGGAGAGGGCGGGCGCCCUGCCCCCGGGCCCGUUCGGCCUCCCGUUCGUUCUCGUGGCUCCUGGAGUCUUCUAGAUGAUUGAAAAUUGCGCGACAUGUUAAUAUCUCUAUGUAAUCCCGACGUGUGGGCCUUUCUUCCAUAUUUUCCUGAUAACCCCCUGCAGAAAUAGACAAACACCAAAACUCGUUGAAUUCUGUCAUAUAAAACCCUAAGUCUAGGUGUUGGUUGUAUUUGGAUCCUUUUCUUUAUUUAUUUGAUGAUUAUAUUUGAUACUUAAGGACCGUCAACAAACUCCCCCAAGCUUACCUCUUGCUCGUCCCUGAGCAAGGAUGAACUCAAGAGUUUCUGCAGUGGUUUUAUUUCUUAAAAGUACACACACAUUCAAGCAAAAUCUCAUCUCUGAGUUAGAAUAAACUGUUAAGACUUAAAACUUACUCAUUUUACCUUUCACCAUGGGGCUUGUAACCGUCACUUGUGUCUUGAGCAGUUAAAAGAUAGAACGGUCAAGUCAAGCACCAUGUAUCUUGUUCUUGAUCAGCUAUAGCUCUGGAGUUUUUGCAGGUUUUCAAAUAAAACUCAAAGAUUCCUUGUAUGACUCUCUCAGAUCUCACUUUUGUGGUAUUUCUGGAUCCUUACCAAGGCAGUAAUGGUAUAUGCCUUCUCUCAAAGUAUGUGGUAUUUUUGGUAUGAGGCAUAGUGAUAUUGCCUUCUCUCUCACCCUACUCUAAUAAGGUUCUGAUAUCUGGAGCUCAUAGGUGGGAGAUAGCUAAUACAUACUUACAAGACAUUUAUUGCAUAGUCAAACCAUGGAUCCAGAGAAACAAGUCCGUAAGCCAAACCAAGAUGUGCAUGUGUGGCGAAUGAAUGUUGUAUGGUAAUGAUGGUGAUAAUGGUGGUGAAAGUCUAAUUCUACUUUUGCUCUUUUGAGGGGAAACAUACAUUUCUUGCACUCUGAAGCUUUUUGGGAAGAAUGAGAUGCUCUAUAUUUUAUUUCCUCUCAGGCGGGUAUCUUGUACCCCUAAUUCUACUGUCGGACACUUGUCCAUUUUUACCUCUCGUCUCACCUUUUUUUCUUUUCUUCCGAGGUUCCGGGCACUUGCCCCUUUUUAUUUCCUCGUAUAUUUUUUUUUCUUUCUUUUUUUAGAGCACUUAUCUCCUUAAAUAAUAUAGCAAGUGGUAGUAACCAAAAUAACUCGAGCAUGUAUUUCACAGGGAAUAACAGGGAUAGGAAAAUGUUUUUUGGCUAUUCUCUCCCGGAUUAGGAGUAGAAUAAUUUUGGGUGAAUGUGGACAUGGAAAUGAGUGGAUAUAUGUGGAUGGUACUUCCGGAGUAGAAGUAGCAUGUAUGAGUGAACGUGCAAGUGAAUCUUGAUUUUAACCACAUGACAAGCUCCUAAGGGUCUACACAGCUUGACCACACUCAAUGCUCAUAAGCAGUAAAAAGUAAAUAUGUGGCUCAAAGUCUAGCAAGCAUGUAUAUAUGGCUGUGGUAGGAUUUUAAACUCUCAUCAUACAGGAACUCAUCAUGUGUUAUUUUAAAGAUUUUUUUCAAAGAUAAAAUUCUCCAGAAUUCUAGCAUCUCUAGGAACAGAUAAACAGCAGCUCAACCUUGCUAUAUCAUAUCCGUUAACGACUUAGACUUUAGAUCAAGUACUCUUCCCACAAGUUUAGGUUUAUAGCAAGCUUUAAAUUAUAACAGUCAUGCCUAAACUUGAGAGAGAUUUCAAUUUUAAGAACUAGUCAUGGCAGAGCAAUUAUUCAUCAUUUCCAUGAUAGAGCUUAUCAUGAGGGUUGAUAGCAAAUUUUAUUUAUUUAUUUAUUUAGCAAACUAAGCAAAGAUAUAUAUAUAAAAGCACAAAAUCUUUAUUAGGUUUUUUCAUAGUUUAUGUAUUUUAAUAUUCUAACAUAAUAUAAGUAUAAAGAUAGGUAGAAAUACUUAGCGAGAUAAAUGGGGGUGCUCUCCCCCAAGCUGAAUUUUGACGUAAUUUCUUCUGAUGUAGCUAGCAGGUGAUGGAGGUGUAUUUGAAAGUCGGUAGCACCCUGACAACGAUUAGGAUGUCCUCCGUCUACUAGUCUUUUCUGAUCCUUGAAUUCUGUGGAGCUCAAAUAGACAACAAAGCUUUGUGGAACUGGUCAAGUGUUAGCAUAGAUAUCUAGCCUUUAUCAUGUUGAGCCUCCUCAAUAAAUGUUACUCUCUUUAGUAGGAUCAUAAAUUUAUUUUUAUAUUUUUAUAUUUUUAUAUUUAUAGGACACGAAUAUAUUUAUCUUGCCACCACAGUGAAUGUACUUAUGGGUUUUAUGCCACUCGUAUACUCACAUGGGGCUUACUGUUUUUUUAACAUUUUUAUUUUCUUUUUAAGAUAGCAUGAAUCUGAUUAACUAAGCAAACUAUUUUAAAUAAUUAAAAGGAAAAGGAUAACUACCAAGUUUACCUCUUGGCAAGGCGUUCGGUGUUUUUAAGUCCUCCGAACGGGACUCUUCGUUUUCUCAGUUGUCCUGGGAUUCGCUAGGUGGCGUAGUCGGUGGUUCCGGCGGCGCCUCUUCUUCGUGUAUAACUAUCUUCUCUCUCCACACCUGACUCGGUGCUACGGUCUCCUCAGGAUAGUUGUAUUCAAGCUGUAUGUCUUCAGUCCUUAUCACUUCUCCUUCGUAGUCUGUCCAUCCGUCCUUGAUGAUUUGCCUCCUCUGGUUGCGGUUGCGUUAUCUUCUUCUUGUCUUGACCUGUUUAGAAUCUUCAACUAUAUAGUUAGAAUUAUUAAAGUAGUGGCGUACCUUCUCAGAGGAGAAGUGUAUGUGGAUUUCUCCAUUUCCAAUAUAGAUGAUGACUUUGAUAGUGUUGAGGAACGGUCUUCUAAGGAUGGUGGGUGGAUCAUACUCGUCUUCUCCCAUGUUAAUGACCUGAAGAUUAUCUGGAGUUGAAUGUAUGUUGGUUGUAGGGGCAUGAUUCCAUGCAGGAGCUGAUAAGUGACUGUGGCCAUUAUGUUGACGUCAGAUCCGGUGUUGUAGAGUGUCUUCUAAAAAGAGUAUCCAUUGAUUGUGCACUUGAUGCUUGGAACACCAGGGUCGUCCUUCUUGAUCAGGAAAGGCGACUUGAGUCGACGAUCUUGACCUCUUUGAACUGCAGUGACCAUCUUAGCUGACUCGGUCCACAUUUGCUUGUUCCUGUUCCUCCUGUUGGUCCUCUUUCUUGGUUCGUGUCGGGAUUGCUCUGAAAUUUGUGUAGUCUUGUUCUUGAAGGAAAGUCUCCUUCUUCCCCUUGAUGUAGAAACUGAUCUUGGCAGCAUUAACGUAGAUGACAGCUCUGGUGCUUAGGAAUGGCCUCCCUAAGAUGAUGGGUGCCCUCUCCUCAGUACCAGUCUCUAUCACCAUGAAGUCUGCUAGAGCGUACAAGGUACCAACUCGGACGCAGAGGUUCUUCAAUAUUUUCUUUGGGAAACUGAGUGUCCGAUCUGCAACCUUGGGCAUAAUGUUGACGCUGGAGCCAAAGUUGCAGAGUGCUUCUGGGAAGUCCACCAUGCCGAUGGAGAUCGGGAUGACGGGGCGUCCUAGAUCACCUCUCUUAGUAAUUAGGCCUCUGUUGAUUCCAACCUUGAUGUUGUUGAGGACGGUUGUAGUAAUACUUGUUAUUGUUGUUGAUGUAGUUCACGUCCUCAAGCAUCUCAGGGCAGUGAUUGCCUGAGCGUCCAGUAUCUCCAGUGUGUUUGUGCUCGUAGAUCCUAGUUCUUCACUUGGUGGAAUCUGGGAGUUGUAAAACUCCUUCAUAUUAUGCUCGAAGUGUUCCUGCUCAUAGAGACAAGGUAGAGAUCAAGUGCAUGGGCCCUGUUGGUGGAAAACACCAACAGAACCAAAAGUGUAUUUGUUCUUCUCUAACCUUAAGCAUAGUGAGCAAGACAAAGUUGAUGGAUCAUGAGUGUAGCAUUUGUCAGAUCAGAUGGCUCAACCUAAUGGAAAGAUAAUCUAUCUAUAUUUAUGUUUUGUUUAUAUCUUCCAAAGAUUGCAUGUGCAAUAUUUUAGCUUAUAUGAUUAGGAGUGUGGGGUCACGAAGGUAGUACUAAGAACAAAGAUUAAAGGACUAAACAUGUUGAAUUAAUUGAGUUGGUUAAUUUGGAGUUAUAAAUCAUACAUGUUUGUCUCUUUAUUUAUGUGAAUGCGAGAACCAAGGAGAACUUAUAAAAGUGAUAAUCAAGUACUUUAAGAUAUUAUUGAAGAGUGAUGGUAUAGUAUCACCUUGUGGAAGCUUUCCUUUCUUAGUGGUUGUGCAUCGUGUUUGUGGCACCCUCCAUGAAUCAUCUCUUAUGAGCUACGUCUUUCUUGUGCAAAUUGUUAAACUUCAUGUGUCACUUUCUUCAUCUCCAAUGUGAGUUUAUCUCAGGACUUCCCAGGUUGAUAUUGAAAGUUCUCCUGCAGGGGUUAGUCCCACAAAAUAAACCAAUAUCUACUCAAGCAGUUUUUAGUUCAGUAACCAAACUAGACUCCAUGUCUAAUCAGAUUAAGGAAGGCUAUUUAACCUAAGCACCACGCUUAAUUUAAAUGCCAUUGGAUGUGUGUCCAGUACUUCCAAACUAACACUUACUAGGAUAAACAAAGGUAGCAUGAUGGCUUUUAUAGAGAUCUACUCAAGUGGAGAUGAAGUAGUGUGAUUAGUAUUUAACAAAUUGAGCAUGUCUCAAAGGUAAGGACAACCAACAUAGUAACAUGGCAAAGGAUGUUUUAUGUAAAGUACUCCCCCAAGCUUGAAUUUUGCAAAAUUCAAGAUUGGAUGAAUUUAAUUUAAUGUUGUAUGAUGAUUGGUUGGGCAUACCUUGCGCUCGUCAUUCAUCUGAUCUUCUUGCUCCAAUCCUAGAAAGGUUAGUGGCAAGAAUACCCGAAGGAAUAUUUCUACAAUUAUCAUUAUAUGCUCAAUACACAAGGUAAUGUUGCAAAUAAUUAGAAGUGCUUGUUUUAGGACACUAAGCUUGUCCUUGGGGAACCAUCAAUUAACUCAACGAGAUCUGCAAUAUUUAUUAUAGACAUAUGCAUCGACAACCGCCCUUUUAAAGUUUUUAUAAAUAGAAAAGAAGAGGGGGUUGGAGAUCUCAAAUGUGGUAAGGAUGGAGAGACUAAUUGAUUGGAGAGAUGUUUUAUAUGAACAAGGACUUGAUGAGGUAUUUAUGAAAUUACUUCCAUGCUCACUGUUGUUUCUCUCAUUCUCAAACUCCAAGGAUGAUUCUUCAUGAAUGCUUAAAAUUCCUCUAGGAUUGUCUCUCAAGUUUGUUUUAUCUAUCCAUUCAAUGGUGAUAGCACAUGGAUUUUUAAUGCCUUCUAGCCAUCGAUGUUGCUCUUCUCGAUCCUCCUUCUUAUGCAUGAGAUGUCUAGAUAGAUUCAUAGGAUUAUCGGGAGGUUCAAGAGAAAGAGCAUAGUAGAAACUAUUAAGCUCAAGGAUGGGACGGAUAGCCGAAUUAUGGGAUUGAAAUGUUUGGAAAUUGGCUAUGGAAACUUCCUUUCCUUGUUUGGGAGAUGAUUCCUUCUUUAUUUCUAAGAUUUUUCUAUGAAGACUAGUACAAGAAGGAUGUCCACAAAUGAAGACGUACCUUCCUUUACUAAUAGAUAAAGAAAGAAAGACUCUACCAAAGGUUAUAUGAUUAAGACCAACAUGAAAAUACCGAGAAAAAAUAUGGUCUUGUAGGGUUAGGUCUAAACUAGAAUUUAUAGAAAGAUUAAAAGAUUCCCUAGGUGCAGCUAAAAGUGCAUUAUCUUCUUGAUUAAAAGAUAGGACCUCAGCUAUAGAAAAGGGUUGGUUUUGACCUAUUGCAAUCAACUUCGGACACAGAUCACAAUUAGGGGCUGGACGUGUUGACUCCCAUGGUCAAUGGCUGGUCUCCGAAGGUGCAAAGAAUUCAAUAAUAGGUAUGGAAUUUAAGUUAUCCAUAAAGAUAAAAAGAUAAAAGAAUAAAAGUAUAAUACAAGAUAAUAGCAAGACUCAAAGUUAUCUUAGCAAACCGUCUUUCUCCCCGGCAACGGCGCCAGAAAUGCUUGUUGAUAUUUGGUAACGCAAUUAGAAAAUGAUCCGCAAGCGCACGGAUAUCGGUGAGCAUUUCACCCGGGAGGUUUUCCAGAGUAUCGUAUUUAUAUUUUUACCACUGGAAGAAAGGGUGCAUCUGACUAACCAAAUCUAUUGCUACUAUCCCUUUAGGCUACAAAGAAUGUCUCUCGAUGUGAGUGAUGUAUAGAGAAGACUGCAACCGUAGUCUCGUUCUAACCUUGGUAAGGAUGAUCUACUGUUCUAUUGGGGAGGCUCACGGAAUCUAGACAACACAAAGGAUGUUUGACCCGCACCUAUAAACCUACCCGUCCUGCUAACGAGAUGUGAUCUGCAAAGGUAACUCGGAAAUGUCACGUUCCUCGCUACUACCACGGUCCAGCUAGUCAGGGGAUAUCUAUGAGUACCCUAGCCUAAACACCAUGUUUACGCCAGCAAUAAUUACUCUAAUACUCAACCGGAAGAGGAUUAAAGUAAACUCAUAAACCAAAGAACAAUAAAACAAGAACUUACUAGAAUUAGAAGUCGAAUUACUGAAGAAUCUUAGAAGCAAGCCUCGGGUUAGGAGACUUGAUCCCGCAGGUACAACUCGGAGUAGACACCGACAGGCCGGCCUUCCUCCGAUCCACACCUCCACUCUAUCUCUCUCAAUCUAGUAGAAACUAGAAGAUCUAUUUCUACCUUACAUUGGUUGCUAAGCCUAAAAAGAAAUAUUAUUUAGAGAAGAGGUUUUCCUUCGAGGGCACCCCUCAAUCUCUAUGAUAAUUUCUUGUCUUCUCCAGGGGCCAGGGGGUCUCCUUAUAUAGUCCUCCUCCUCUAUGCGUUUUUGGUUCAGCAGGCGAUGUGGUACUAAACUUUCCACCAUAUCUCAUUAAAAUGCACAUAGGCCAUAAUGGACAAAAAUCUGAUUUGGGCCCAAUUAAUCCCGCAGCUCUUUUAUAUGGAGUCCUUCUUUUAUUAAUAUCUCUUGAUUCCGAACUCCAAAUAUAGCAAAUAAUAUAUGCAUUUCGAUCAGCUCGACGAGAUCUUUGCAAUGGUGUACUCUAUUCUGUGAUUGGUGGAAACACCUGGGCGGGCGCCCAAGGGGAGAGGGCGGGCGCCCUGCCCCCGGGCCCGUUCGGCCUCCCGUUCGUUCUCGUGGCUUCUGGAGUCUUCUAGAUGAUAGAAAAUUGCACGGCACGUUAAUAUCUCUAUGUAAUCCCGACGUGUGGGCCUUUCUUCCAUAUUUUCCUAAUAACCCCCUGCAGAAAUAGACAAACACCAAAACUCGUUGAAUUCUGUCAGAUAAAACCCUAAGUCUAGGUGUUGGUUGUAUUUGGAUCCUUUUCUUUAUUUAUUUGAUGAUUAUAUUUGAUACUUAAGGACCGUCAACACACUAAUGGCAAUAUCAUUGCAUUGUACCUUCUUCUCUUCAACCGGUGUUGGUGCAUUUUCAUUUGCCACCUCACAUUUUGUUUGGGUCACCUUCCAAACUUCUCUAUUGAUUGACUUGAGAUGGGCAGUCAUCUUGACCUUCUAAUAAGUAUAAUUUGUGCCAUCAAAGUAAGGUGCCUUAUUGGUGUUGUUGAUAUACAAACUAAGAGCCAUUUCUUCACCGAAGGUUGUUAAGCCUCAAUUAAACGGUGCCUCAGCUCCAAUACCACUUGAUAGGUCAAAAUGGCUAGAGGAGUGGCGAAUAGCCUAUUUAAAUUUUCUACAAAUUCAACUAGACAAGUUGGUUAGUAAAACAAAUGGUGAAGCUAUUCUAGCAUUAGCACAACUAAGCUAUGCAAGCCACCUACAAAAGUCUAGCAAGAAAGCUAAACACUAAGUUACAACGAGAAAGAACAACUAAAAGCUAGCUAAACUCCUAGACAAGAAAACUAGGCUAAAGAAGCUACUCAACUAGCAAGGUAUGCAAUGAAGUAAAGAGUGGGGGUGAUUGUUAUACCAAUGUUGUAGAGUAGACAUAUAACCAAUCAAUCAAUCACAAUCACAAGAGAAUCCUCGGCACGAGAUGACACAAGAUAUUUUACCGAGGUUCACUUGCUUCCCAGCAAGCUAGUCCUCAUUGUGGCGAUACACCCACUUGAUGGAUCACGAGCUAAUUGGCAAUUCAAAGCCAAACCCUCAACAGGUGCCGCACAUCCACUCACAAGUUGGGGAUCCUCCAAGCCACAAGCAAUCCACUAGAGUAGCCAAUUGUGAUCUCCCACGGGGAAGGCUCAAGAACCCCUCACAAAUCACUUGGUGAGGCUCGAAACAAUCUCCAAUCAUGAGCUCAACACCUCCACUGCUCCAAGUCAUCUAGGGCGUGGAGAAAUACCCAAGAGUAACAAGAAAUCUACAGCAAGCAUAAGAAUCAAGUGCCACUAGAUGCAACUCUCAAUGCAAUACACUUGAAUCUUACUCAAUCUCACUAGGAUUAGCAAUCAAGCAAGGAGAUGAGUGGAGGGAGUGUUCUCUAGCUCAAUGUAUGCCUCAAGUAAUCAAAUGUGCAAGAGAGAGCCCCCAAAGUCGGCCAACUACUAUAUAUACGCCCCCUCAAUAAAAGAGUUGUUGGCUCUUUUGACUAGGCUGAACUCGGGAGCACCGGACGCACAGUAGGGAGCCACCAGACUCUCAAGCCCUGCGUCCGAUGCCCUGAUGACGGUCACAUGUCGUCCUUUUUACUUUUGCGCGUCGGUCUCUAACGGUCACCUGCAGACCACCGGACGCAGUCAAGUGAGCACCGGACGCGUCCGAUACUCACCGGUCACGUAAGCAGAGAGGUCUGCAAAAUGCACUAACACCGGACGCUGAGCACCGAACUCACUCCGGUGCGUCUGGUGCUUUGCUAGAAAACUUCACAGGUUAGCUCGCUGACCCCAACAAGCACCGGACGCUCAAACAACAGAUCCCCUUUGUCCGGUGUAGAGCCUCCGGUGCACUCUGCUUGCUCUGGUCAAACACUGACAGUGCACCGGAUGCUAAGGCCAACGUCAGGUGCCUCCGCACCCUGUGUCUGGUGAGUGUUUCACUCCUACGACUUCCUAAAGACUUCCAUCGGCGCAAUAGAAAAUAUGCCUUUCAUUUUCACAAAAGCGCUGAAUACCGCCUCACAAGCUCUGUGGAAGGGAGAGAGGAACCCAAACCCCUCUCAACCCUAGGAACUCCACCUCCUUUGUAAAAGUGCUAACACCACCAAGUGUCCACCACAAAAGUGCAUGUGUGUUAGCAUUUCACAAAUGUUUUCAUCAAAGGAGUUAGGAUAGCACUUUACUAGAUCCUAAUGCAUAUGCUCAAGAUGUGGACCUAGUAGCACUUGAUUCGAGAGAUGACCGUGAUUUACCCCCUUGAUAGUCGGCUAUCUAUCCUAAAUCCAAUCAAUCACUUCUCUACUCAACUUAGAACGGCAAAAGCAAAGCCCUAUGUUUAUAUCUUUGCCUUGAUCACUUUACUCCUAGUCUAUCACCAUGAUUUCCACUUCAUGCUUCAUCUCUUUGUAAUCAUGUGGCCACUGAAAGCCCUAGUUUGGUUUUGGAUAAUUGAUGAAACCUAUUUGUACUAACCUUUGUCAUGAGUGAAAUACAAAGAUAGGUUGGUACAACCAAGUGAUGGAGCUAGAUGAUGGUCAUGGUGAUGGAGGUAACCAAAGGAAAAUAUCAAGUGCUCCAACUUUGAAAAGAAGAAAGAGAAAAAUAAAAUGGUCUCAAGGCAAAGGUAUUUUUAAUAGGCCAUUUUGUUUUGCCACUCAAGACACCAAGUGGGUGUGUGUUGAUUUAGGAUAGAUAACCGUACUAUAAAGAGGGGAAAUAUUUAAUUGUAAAGGGUUAUCUAGUGUCACUAAGUAUGAGUCUCAUUUGCAUUUACCUCGCACUUAGUGACAUGGAGAGCUGCAUGAGAAAGCAUAUAAAAAUAUUUGUGAAAAGCUAAUUUAAAUGUCCAAUUUAUUUUGGAAUAUUUUGGUGAAGUUAGCUACUUGAAGAAGAGGUGCACAAAUUGGUCAUCCCUUUAUUUCCUAGACAGAGUCACCUUCCUGGCAUUUCUCAUUUCUGAACAAGAAAUUCUCAUAUCUAUUUUGUCUAGACAGAGACCCCAUGUCAGCAAUUCUCAUUUCUGAUCGAGAAUUUCUCAUAGUUAUGUUGUCUAACCAAAUACCCAUCUCGGCAUUUCUCUCUUGUGAAUGAGAAAUUCUUAUAAGGCUUCCUGUGUCGUCAAUUGUCGUUUAUGUAUGAGAAUUUCUCAUACAGCUUAGAUCCACUGCUGACCGCGUGGCAGGGAGCCCGCUCGCCUGCUCUCUAUUAGGCAGCUUCCGAGAAGUUUCGUCCUGUGACCGUUUGGGAGAAGAAAGGAAAGUGGACCGUUGCCUGGGGAUGGUGUUGGCUUGGCCAGCUGGUUAAAUCCAACGCCUCCCCCUUUCCUUUCCCCUCUCUCCGAACCAGAACAGAAGCACGCUAUGCUUCUCUCUCGCUUUAGUGAAACAAAGAACAGAGAAAAAAGAUCACUCCCCUCUCCUCUCUCACUCCCAAGGAUUUGUGCUCCAUUCAAGUGAGAGAGCAAGCUCUAGAGAUCGAUUUGAGAGCUCCAAAAGGAUCUCCUCCCUCUCCUGUCCAUUCUUAUGGUUGGUUCUCUUUGGUGAGAGGAGUUGAGGAAACCCUAGUGUUCAUGCAUCUGUGAUUCAUAUUUGUGGCACUAGGUUGUGAUUGCAAUCGUUGAUUUCUUAUUACUCUUGGUGAUUGUCGUCACCUAGAUGGUUGGUGUUGGAUUGAUUGGUGAGGGGACUUGGUGAUUGUAUCCGCCCCCAAUCAAGGUGCAUUUGUGAGGGGUUAUUGUGGUUCCCCAGCGGAGUGCUAAAUUCCAAAUCUAGUGGAUUGCUCAUGCCAUUGAGCUACCUCACUUGUGGUAGGUCCUUGCGGUGCUCGUGGUGAGCUUGGGUGUGGAAUCCCAAUUAACCGCCAGACCACCAAGUGUUGGUCGACACAACAGGGACUAGCAUGCCAGCAAGCACGUGAACCUCGAGAGAAAAAUAUUGGUAUCAAUAUUGUGAUUGGUAUUCUCCCGGUGAUUAUAUUGAUAUACAUUGUGAUUUGUUCAUCCUCUACACAUCAGUAUAAUUAUCUCUUACCUCUUUACUUUCUUGCAAAUUAGUUGUAACUAGUAGAUCCUAGUUUUAGCUAGUUGUAACUAGUUGUAAAGAGUAGUGACAUAGCCAUUACUUGUGCCUAGAGAUCAUAGCAACUGGAAUUUUUGGAUAGGUGGCUUGCAACCCUUGUAGAGCUAGAGCAAAAUUGCUUUACGCCUUUUGUUAUAUUAAUCCUUUGCUCUAGUGCCUUGUAGAAUUGUUAAAUAGGCUAUUCACCCCCCUCUAGCCAUAUUAGGACGUUUCAAGUGCUAUCGAGCUGUGAUCACCAUUUAGUGAAGGCUUAACAACCUCGGUGUGUAAAUUAUGGCUCAUGUUGUGUUCAACCAUGUUGGGGGCAAACCACCAAUGUUUGAUUGCACCACAUCUUUUGAUCAAUGGAAGAGAAAGAUGAAGAUUCACCUUGGUAUCAUUCAUACCAAAGUGUGGAAUGUGAUCGAAACUGACUUUGUUAUCCUUGAUUCCGACAAUCUCACCGACAAGGAUGAAAUCAACCAACAAUGCAAUAAUGCCGCUCUCAAUGCCAUAUAUCAAGGGAUUGAUUCAAAAGUGUUCGAACAAAUCAAAGAUCUUGAGAAAGCAAGUGAAGUGUGGCAAAGAUUGAUUGAGAUAUAUGAGGGUAACCAAAAUGUCAAGAGUGCCAAGUUGUACAUGCUCAAGGACAAGCUAUUCAACUUCAAGAUGGAAAAAGAUGAGUCCAUUCCAGAGAUGUUCUAUAGACUCCAAGUGAUUAUCAAUGAUCUUAAGAACCUUGGAGAGAAAGUGAAGGAUGAGGACUUCUCACAUAAAUUCCUCAAGUGCUUGCCAAACAGAUUCUCUACUUUGAGAAGAAUGAUCUUUAGAGAAGGAUUGAGCAAGGUGACUCCAAAUGAAGUGCUUGGUGACAUAAUGACCGAUGCUCAAUACAAUGAUGAUCUUAGUGAAGGAGAAGAGGACAAGAGGGAAAAGAAAGACAAGAAAGAAAAGAGUAUGGCAUUCAAGGCUUCAUCCUCCUCUAAGGGCAAGAGCAAGAAAGAAGAGCUAAGUGAGGAAGAGAUUGAUAGUGAUGAUGAGGCAAUGGCUCUUCUAGUCCACAAGAUGGGCAAGUUCAUGAAGAAGAAGGGCCAUGGUGCAAGAAAGAGAAUAGACUUCACCAAAGGCAAUGGCAAUGGGAGGCUUUGCUUCAAAUGCAAGAGCCCCGAUCAUGUGGUGGCAAAUUGUCCACAUCUUGAUGAUGAUGAUGACAACAACAAGAAGAAGGACAAGAAUGAGAGGAAGGAUAAGAAGUCCAAGAAAAUGAGCUUCAAGAAGAAUAAGAAGGGUGGUGGCUAUAUUGUCAUGUGGGAUAGUGAUGCCGAUGAUGAUGAAGAUAGUGAUGAUGAGAAGGAGUUGGAGGCCAUGAAGAAGGCUUUUGGUGGUGUUGCUAUUUCCAACAAACCAUCUUUAUUUGAUGAUGCUACAUCAACAUGCCUCAUGGCUAAGGCCACCAAGGUAACAUAUAAUGAUGAUGCAUGUGAUGAUGAUGAUUCUUGUAGUGAUGAUGAUGAGGACCCUUCCAAGGAGGAGCUCAUGGACAUAUGUGAGCAACUAAAUGAAGGCUUCCAAAAGAAGAGAAAAGAGUGUAAGGGCUUACUCAAGAAAGUCCAAGAUCUUGAGAAGUCCCUUAGGGAGCUCCAAGCAUCUCAUGAGUGUCUAAAGGAAUACCAUGAGGAACUUGAGAAUGCUCACACCAAGCUUGCAAAAGCUCACUCUAUUCUUCUUGAUCAAGCAAAGGUGGAGGACGUGAAGGAGACUAGAAGCAUUGUACUAACAUGUGAUAUUAUGGAUGAAUCUUUUUAUAAAUCUAUUAUUAUAUCACAAACGAACCCUUCUUGUAGCUCUUCAUCCACCACAACCGACUCAAGCUCAUGUAUGAGUGAUGGUUUCACUUGUGAUGCAUCACUUAUGAUUGAGAAUGAGACUCUCAAGAGGGAGGUGGAUGAGCUCACUCAAGCUCUGGGCAAGGCCUAUGGCGGUGAGGCCCGCUUUCUUAAGUGCUUGGGUAGCCAAUGCUUUUCUCUCAACAAAGAGGGAAUAGGCUACACCCCCAAGAAAGGCAAGACGGCCUUCGCAACUCACAAGCCUAGCUUUGUGAAGAGCACCGGUCGUUAUUGCAAUAGAUGCAAGCAAGUUGGGCACCUAGACCUUAAUUGCAAUAAAAUGAACAAGAACAAGAAAAAUGCUAAUGUAUCUUACAUUCCUUUUGAUUCUUGUUAUGUGCUUACCAAGGGUGAGAAGUGUGUGCAUGCUAAGUUUGUUGGUACACCAAUUGUGGGUCCAAAUAAGAAGGCCAUUUGGGUGCCAAAAAGCUUAGUCACUAACCUCCAAGGACCCAAACAAGUAUGGGUACCUAAGAAACAUUGAUUUGUUUUGUAGGUAAAUGGCAAAGCCAGAGGAAGGCAUUGGAUUCUUGAUAGUAGGUGCACUCAACACAUGACCGGUGAAUAAAAAAUAUUCCAAGAAAUCAAGCCAAAUGAUGGUGAUGUGAGGAGUAUCACAUUUGGUGACAAUAGAAGAGGUGAUGUGAUUGGUCUUGGCAAGAUUGCAAUUUCAAAUGAUAUGUUCAUUUCUAAUGUGAUGCUAGUGGAGAGUUUGAACUUCAACUUGCUAUCAAUUGCUCAAUUGUGUGAUCUUGGCUACAAGUGUAUAUUUGGUAUUGAUGAUGUUGAGGUGGUUAGUGUUGAUGGAUCAAAUGUUGCUUUCAAGGUGUUCAGCUAUGGGAAUCUCUAUCUUGUUGAUUUCAACACAAGUGAAGCUCAACUGUCAACAUGCUUGCUCUCCAAAUCAAGCAUGGGUUGGCUAUGGCAUAGAAGGCUUGGUCAUGUUGGAAUGAAGCAACUCAACAAGUUAGUGAAACAUGAUCUAGUUCGAGGCUUGAAGGAUGUCACAUUUAAAAAGGACAAGCUUUGUAGUGCAUGUCAAGCCGUAAAGAAAGUUAGCAACACUCAUCCAAAGAAGAGCAUCAUGAGUACUUGUAAGCCAUUUGAGUUGUUGCAUAUGGAAUUAUUUGGGCCAACAACAUACACUAGCAUUGGAGGCAACAAAUAUGGAUUUAUGAUUGUGGAUGAUUUCACUAGUUACACUUGGGUGGCAUUUCUUAGUGACAAGAGUGAUGUAUAUGACAUCUUCAAGCUAUUCAUUAAAAGAAUGCAAAAUGAGUAUGAAACCACCAUUAAGAAAGUGAGAAGUGACAAUGGAAAUGAAUUCAAAAACACAAGAGUUGAUGAGCUAUGUGAUGAGUUAGGAAUCAAGCAUCAAUUCUCAGCAAAGUAUACACCACAAUCCAAUGGGCUAGUUGAAAGGAAAAAUAGAACUUUGAUUGAUAUUAUCAAUGCUAAGUGAGUACAAUAUGAGUCACUCAUUUUGGGCCAAAGCAAUCAACACGGCAUGCUUCUAUACCAAUAGACUCUAUUGUCAUCCAUUCCUAUAGAAGACACCUUAUGAGAUAUUGAAUGGAAGAAAGCCCAAUAUAUCAUACUUUCGAGUAUUUGGAUGCAAAUGCUACAUAUUGAGAAAAGGCACUAGAUUGAGCAAGUUUGACAAGAAAGUUGAUGAAGGCUUCUUGUUUGGUUACUCCACUUCAAGUAAAGCAUAUGGAGUAUAGAAUUUGGGAAGUGGUCAACUUGAGGAAGUAGAUGAUGUUGAAUUUGAUGAAACUCAAGGCUCUCAAGAUGAAGAAGAGAACUUGGAUGAUGUGAGAGGCACACAAUUGGCUGAUGCAAUGAAGAGAAUGGAAAUUGGUGAUAUUAGGCCAAGAGAGGUAAUUGAUGUUGAAGAUGACAAAGAUCAAGUGCUUCCUUCCUCUAAUGUGCAAGCUAGUGGGUCUCGUGACCAAAUUAGAGCUAGUUCAUCAUCUCAAGUGCAAGAUCAACAUCAUGAAGCUAGUACACCAUCUAAAUCAAGUAAUCAACCAAGUGCAAGCAAUCAAGUGCAAAUACUCCAACCAAUAAAUAUUGCAAGAGAUCAUCCAUUGGAUUAUAUCAUUGGUGAUAUAUCAAGAGGUGUGCAAACUAGAUCAAGAUUGACAUCAUUUUGUGAACAUUUCUCAUUUGUAUUAUCCAUUGAACCAAACAAGAUAGAAGAAGCAUUGAGAGAAGUUGAUUGGGUAAAUGCUAUGCAUGAAGAACUAAACAAUUUUACUAGAAAUCAAGUAUGGGAGUUAGUAGAGAGGCCUAAGGAUCAUAAUGUGAUUGGAACCAAAUGGGUCUUUCAAAACAAGCAAGAUCAAGAUGGGAUAGUAAUAAGGAACAAAGCAAGAUUGGUAGCACAAGGUUACACACAAAUUGAAGGUCUUGACUUUGGUGAAACAUAUGCCCCAGUUGCUAUAUUGGAAGCAAUUAGGAUCUUGUUAGCCUAUGCUUGUGCCCACAACAUCAAGUUAUAUCAAAUGGAUGUGUAGAGUGCAUUCUUGAAUGGGUACAUAAAUGAGUUGGUUUAUGUUGAGCAACCUCCUGGUUUUGAAAAUUACAAGUACCCCAACCAUGUUUACAAGUUGAAGAAAGCUUUGUAUGGUUUGAAACAAGCACCUAGAGCAUGGUAUGAGAGGUUAAGGGAUUUCUUACUCUCUAAAGGGUUUAUUAUGGGUAAGGUUGACACCACUCUCUUCACUAAAAAGGUAGGCAAGGACUUAUUUGUGUUGCAAAUCUAUGUUGAUGACAUUAUAUUUGGUUCAACCAAUCAAGAAUUUUGUGAAGAGUUUGGAAAGAUGAUGGCAAAAUAAUUUGAGAUGUAAAUGAUUGGAGAGCUUAGUUACUUCCUUGGUCUUCAAAUCAAGCAAAUGAAGAAUGGCACAUUUGUAAGUCAAGGCAAGUACAUCAAAGACAUGCUCAAGAAGUUCGGCAUGGAUGAUGCAAAGUCAAUUAGCACACCUAUGGGGACUAAUGGAAACAUAGAUAGUGAUGCUAGUGGCAACAUGGCGGAUCAAAAGUUGUAUCGGUCUAUGAUUGGAAGCCUACUAUAUGUGACUGCAUCAAGGCCGGAUGUGAUGUUUAGUGUAUGCAUGUGUGCUAGAUUUCAAGCCUCACCAAGAGAAAGUCAUUUGAAGGCAACAAAAAGAAUAUUGAGGUACUUAAAGCAUACACAAAAUGUUGGAUUAUGGUAUCCCAAAGGAGCAAAUUUUGAGUUGAUUGGUUAUUCUGACUCUAACUACGCGGGAUGCAAAAUUGAGAGAAAGAGCACAUCAGGCACAUGUCAAUUAUUGGGAAGAUCACUUGUGUCUUGGUCAUCAAAGAAGCAAAAUAGUGUAACACUUUCAACCGCUGAAGCGGAGUAUAUUUCAGCUGGUAGUUGUUGUGCUCAAUUACUUUGGAUGAAGGCUACUGUUGACGGUCCUUAAGUAUCAAAUUUAAUUAUCAAAUAAACAAAGAAAAGGAUCCAAAUGAAAUCAACAUCUAGACUUAGGGUUUUAUCUGACAGAAUUCCACGAGUUUCGGUGUUUGUCUAUUUCUGCAGGGGAUUAUCAGGAAAUAUGGAAGAAAGGCCCACACGUCGGGAUUACAUAGAGAUAUUAAUGUGCCGCACAAUUUUCUAUCAUCUAGAAGACUCCAGAAGCCACGGGGAUGAACGAGAAGGCAAACGGGCCCAGGGGCAGGGCGCCCGCCCACCCCCCUUGGGCGCCCGCCCAGGUGUUUCCACCAAUCACAGAACAGAGUACACCAUUACAAAGAUCUCGUCGAGCUGAUCGAAAUGCAUAUAUUACUUGCUAUAUUUGGAGUUCGGAAUCAAGAGAUAUUAAUAAAAGAAGGACUCCACAUAAAAAAGCUGCGGGAUUAAUUGGGCCCAAAACAGAUUUUGGUCCAUUAAGGCCCCUGUGCAUUUUAAUGAGAUAUGGUGGAAAGUUUAGUACCACAUCGCCUGCUGACCCAAAAAUGCAUAGAGGAGGACUAUAUAAGCAGACCCCCUGGCCCGUGGAGAAGACAAGAAAUUAUCAUAGAGAUUGAGGGGUGCCCUCGAAGGAAAACCUCUUCUCUAAAUAAUAUUUCUUUUUAGGCUUAGCAACCAAUGUAAAGUAGAAAUAGAUCUUCUAGUUUCUACUAGAUUGAGAGAGAUAGAGUGGAGGUGUGGAUCGGAGGAAGGCCGGCCUGUCGGUGUCUACUCCGAGUUGUACCUACGGGAUCAAGUCUCCUAACCCGAGGCUUGCUUCUAAGAUUCUUCACUAAUUCGACUUCUAAUACUAGUAAGUUCUUGUUUUAUUGUUCUUUGGUUUAUGAGUUUACUUUAAUCCUCUUCCGGUUGAGUAUUACAGUAAUCACUUGCUAGCGUAAACGUGGUGUUUAGGCUAGGGUACUCAUAGAUAUCCCUUGACUAGCUGGACCGUGGUAGUAGCGAGGAACGUGACAUUUCUGAGUUACCUUUGUAGAUCACAUCUCGUUAGCAGGACGGGUAGGUUUAUAGGUGCGGGUCGAACAUCCUCUGUGUUGUCUAGAUUCCGUGAGCCUCCCCAAUAGAAUAGUAGAUCAUCCUUACCAAGGUUAGAACGAGACUACGGUUGCAGUCUUCUCUAUACAUCACUCACAUCGAGAAACAUUCUUUGUAGCCUAAAGGGGUAGUAGCAAUAGAUUUGGUUAGUCAGAUGCACCCUUUCUCCCAGUGGUAAAAAUAUAAAUACGAUAACUCUAGAUAACCUCCCGGGUGAAAUGCUCACCGAUAUCCGUGCGCUUGCGGAUCAUUUUCUAAUUGCGUUACCAAAUAUCAACAGCUACUUUGAAUGAUUUUGGAAUCAAGUUCAAACAAGUGCCAUUGCUAUGUGACAAUGAGAGUGCAGUGAAGCUCACCAACAACCUAGUUCAACAUUCAAGAACAAAGCAUAUAGAUGUCCGACAUCAUUUCAUAAGAGAUCAUCAACAAAAAGGGGACAUUUGUAUUGAGAGUGUGGGCACCAAAGAUCAACUUGCCGAUAUAUUCACCAAGCCACUUGAUGAGAAGAGGUUUUGGAAGCUAAGGAAUGAAUUUAACAUACUUGACUUCUCAAAUAUGUGUUGAUGCUUCCCCAUAAUAUGACAUGCCUCACCUUCGAGCAAAGCAAGGUACAAUUGUUUGACAUAUCAUCCAUCCUUUGCUAAGGACUUGUUUAGUGCAUCUAUUCAUUCCUCACAUGUCCUAGGCUCAUUUAUGAAAAUAAAAUGAAUUUGAUGCUUGUAUGGUACCACUAUUGCUUCUUUGUUUGAAAUGAUCUAGUGGUAGCUGUUGGGUAUUCUUAACAUCAUUACCAAAAGUAGACUAAGUUCUCUAAAUCUAGUAACGGUGCCAAAAAUGCCAAACCUAUCCCUCACACCACUUAAGCCAAGUUGUCAUCCCCAGCAUGACAUGAGAGACGUGAUAUUGAAAUAUGCAAUUGCUCUUCUAAAUAAAUAAUGAAUGGGAUCUGCAAGCGCACAGAUUAAUACCGAUGUAGCAUUUUAACCGGAAAGUAUUCUAGGUAUCGUUAUUUAUAUUUUUACCACUGGGAAGGGAUUAGCAAUCAUCAAUAUUGAUUACAGAAUAGAAUAUGAGAUUGAGCAUCUAUCAUUGCAUGUAUAAUUGAGAACAUUUAUCUAACUCUUCAUACAGGGAUAAGUGUCACAUAAAAGAUAUAUGAAAUAAUAAUAGUGACAAGGAUAACUAAUCUGAUCUAGCCACAUAAUAAAUAUGAUAAGCACCUCAAUUAGAUACUCUAGAAAGUCAUUAGCAUGGUAUUAGAACGAACUACAAGAAUAUUCCCUAAGUUAUUCUCAACUAUAUAGUCUAGCAUUAUCAUAAUUAGUGCAAGCAUACUUAGCAAUCAUUGCAAGACAAGACUACACCCAUGCAUAGUGAUAUUAGCAAGGAAUAUGAGAAACAUAGCAAUCACUCCCCUAUAAUAAUGUUGCUCUGUCAGCCCAAUACACGAGAGGGGGACUAUAUAAGAAUCAAUGAAGCUAUCACUAUCACGAACCACCCCACGAUCUGGCAUAUUGGGUACAAUCGCAGAUAAAUACGGUAUAAGCACCACGCCUACACAAUAUCUAUCAUUUACCCAUGGAUCCGAUGGAUAAACGCUAUACGAUCCUAAGCAUGUAUAUAGAUCCAAUCUAACUAAGCUAAGUACAUAACUAUGAUAAACUAAGAACAAUAUAAUCUUGAAUAUAAGCAAGUAGAGCAAAGUCAUAAGCAAUAUAUUGAAAUAGAACAAAGUCAUAUUCAAAAUAUUGAAGAACAAAGAUAAUUAGAAAGUAAUUAGAAGCACAAUUAGAGAAUUACCAAGAAUCCUCUUGACAGAUCCGGAAACCAAUCGAAGAUUGACUCCUUCUAGUUCUAAUCCUAUGUAGCUAUGCUAAUCUAGAUGUCUAAUUGAUGUGGUGGCUCUAAUCUUGAUCAGAGGCUUCUUCUCCCUUGAAGAACAAUGAAUUAGGGUUGAGAGGCUCUCUCCUCCAGGGGCCAGGGGGUCUAGUUUUAUAGUCCCUCCAAGUGAAUAUGGGCCAUUGGAUCAAACCGACAUAGAUUGUAUGGUUUAGAUUCAUCCUUUAGGUCGUUGGAGAUCUCCCACGAAGCAGAGUCCUGAUUGGACUCCCAGAGGGGGCGGGCGCCCAGGGCAGGAGGGCGGGCGCCCUGCCUCUGGCCCUGUUUCGCCUCCGCUUCGGUCUCGUGGCUUCCGGAGUCUUCUAGAUGUAAGAUAAUUGCAUGGUACGUUAAUAUCUCUAUGUAAUCCCGACGUGUGGGCCUUUCUUCCGUAUUUCCUGAUAACCCCCUGCAGAAAUAGACAAACACCAAAACUCGUGGAAUUCUGUCAGAUAAAACCCUAAGUCUAGAUGUUGAUUUCAUUUGGAUCCUUUUCUUUAUUUAUUUGAUAAUUAAAUUUGAUACUUAAGCACCGUCAACAAACUCCCCCAAGCAUACCUCUUGCUCGUCCCUGAGCAAGGAUAGACUCAGCUAUGGAUCAUAAGUUGUUGCAAUGUUUUUAAAAAUUGACGGUACACAUGCUUUUUUAAAUAAGAUCUUAUCUCUGAGUUAGAGUAAACUGUCAAGACUUAAAACUUACUUACUUUACCUUCACCAUGGGACUUGUAACCGUCACUUCUGUCUUGAGUAGUUAAAAGAUAGAACAGUCUAGUCAAGUGCCAUGUCUCUUAUUCUUGAUCAGCUAUAGCUCUGGGGUUUUUGCAGAUUUUCAAAUAAAACUCAGAGAUUCCUUGUAUGAUUCUCUCAGAUCUCUCUUUUGUGGUAUUUCUGGAUCCUUACCAAGGCAGUGAUGGUAUAUGCCUUCUCUCAAGAUAUGUGGUAUUUGUAGUGUAAAGCAUAGUGACAUUGCCUUCUCUCUCACCCUACUCUAAUAAGGCUUUAAUAUCUGGAGCUCAUAGGUGGGAGAUAAAAUAUACAUACUUACAAGACAUUUAUUGCAUAGUCAAACCAUGGAUCCAAAGAAACAAAUCAAUAAGCCAAAUCAAGAUGUGCAUGUGUGGCAAAUGAAUGGUGUAUGGUGAUGAUGGUGAAAACAAUGGUGGUGGAAGUCUAAUUCUACUUUUGCUCUUUUGAGGGGAUACAUACCUUCCUUGCUUUUUGAAACUUUAUGAGGAGAAUGAGAUGCUCUUCUUUUUCAUUUCUCUCAGGUGGGUAUCUUGUACCCCUAAUUCUACUGUCGGACACUUGUCCAUUUUUACCUCUCGUCUCACUCUUUCUUUUCUUUCGAGGUUCUGAGCACUUGCUCCUUUUUAUUUACUCGUAUUUAUUUAUUUUUUUUCUCUUCUCUUUUUUUAGAGCACUCAUCUCUUGAGAUAAUAUAGCAAGUGGUAGUAACAAGAUAACUUGAGCAUUUAUUUCACAAGGGAAAAACAGAGAUAUUUUUGGUUAUUCUCUCUCGGAUUAGGAGUAGAAUAUUUUUGGGUGAUUCUGGAGAUGGAAAUGGAUGGAUAUAUGUGGAUGGUACUUCCGGAGUAGAAGUAGCAUAUAUGAGUGAACGUGCAAGUGAAUCUUGAUUUAACCACAUGACAAGCUCCUAAGGGUCUACACAGCUUGACUACACUCAAUGCUCAUAAGCAGUAAAAAGUAAAUGUAUAGCUCAAAGUCUAGCAAGCAUGUAUAUAUGGCUGUGGUAGGAAUUUAAACUCUCAUCAUAUAGGAACUCAUCAUGCAACAUUUUAAAGUUUUUCAAAGAUAAAAUUCUCCAGAAUUCUAGCAUCUCUAGGAACAGAUAAACAGCAGCUCAACCUUCCCAUAUUGUAUCCGUUAACAACUUAGACUUCAAAUCAAGUUUUCAUCCCACAAGUUUAGGUCUAGAGCAAGCUUUAAAUUAUAACAGUUAUAUCUAAACUUGAGAGAACUUCAAAUGUGCAAAUUAGGCAGAGCAACUAUUCAUCAUAUCCAUGCUUGAGUUUUAUUUAGAUACAGAUUAGCAUAGCCACUUUAUUUAUUUAUUAAACACACUAAGCAAAAGAUAUAUAUAUAAGCAUAAAAUCUUUAUUUGAUUUUCCAUAGUUAUGUAUAUUUAUAUUCUAAAAUAAUAUAAGUAUAAAGAUAGAUAGAUAGAAAUACUUAUCGAGAUAAAUGGGGGUGCUCUCCCACAAGCUGAAUUUUGACGUAAUUUCUCUUGAUGUAGCUAACAGGUGCCAGAGGUGUAUUUGAAAGUCAGCAGCAUUCUGACAGCGAUUAGAAUGUCCUCCGUCUGAUAGUCUUCUUGAUUCUUAAAUCAUGUGGAGCUCAAAUAGACAACAAAGCUUGUGGAACUGAUUAAGUGUUAGCAUAAAUAUCUAGCCUUUAUCAUGUUGAGACUCCUUAAUAAUUAUUACUCCCUGUUUUUAUAUUUUCAUUUUAUAAAGCAGAAAUAUAUUUAUUUUAUUUUUAUGCCACCACAGUGAAUGUACUUAUGGGUUUUAUGUCACUCGUAUACUCACAUGGGGCUUACUGUGUUUUCAUAUUUUUUUAUUUUCUUUUUAGGAUACCAGGAACAUGAUUAACUAAGUAAACUAUUUGAAAUAAUUGAAAGAGAAAGGAUAACUACCAAGUUUACCUCUUGGCAAGGCGUUCGGUGUUUUUAAGUCCUCCGAACGGGACUCUCCAUUUUCUCAAUUGUCCUGAGGUUCGUUGGGUGGCGUAGUCGGUACUUCUGGCAACGCCUCCUCUUCAUGUAUAGUUAUCUUCAUUUUCCACACCUGACUUGGUGUUUCCGUCUCCUCUGGAUAAUUCUGUUUAAACUCUACGUCUUCUGACCUUACAACUUCUCCUUCGUAGUCUGCCCAUCCGUCCUUGAUGAUCUGCCUCCUUUGGCUGCGGUUGCGUCGCUUUCUUACCUGCUUAGAUUCUUCAAUGAUAUAGUUAGGGUCAGUAAAAUAACGGCGUACCUUCUCUGAGGGGAAGUGCAUAUGGACUUCUCCGGUUCCAAUGUAGAUAAUUGCUUUAACGGUGCUGAGGAACGGUCUUCCAAGGAUGAUGGCUGGAUCAUACUCGUCUUCUCCUAUGUCAAUAACUUGAAAGUCUGUGUAGACCAAAUGAUCGUCUAUUUUGACUGGGACAUCAGUUACUAUUCCUUUGACUUCUCGAAAUGUCUGAUCUGCCAUCUGGAGUUGAAUGUAUGUUGGUCUUAGUGGCAUGGUUCCGAACAAGAGCCGAUAGGUGACUGCGGCCAUUAUGUUGACGCCCGAUCCGGUGUCGCAAAUCGUCUUGUAGAAGUUGCAUCCAUUUAUGGAGCAGUAGAUGCUUGGCAUUCCUGGGUCGUCCUUCUUGGUCAAAAACGGUGACUUAAGUUGUUGAUCUUGGCCUCCAUGAACUGCAGUGACCAUCUUAGCUGACUCGGUCCACACUUGCUUGUUCCUGUAUCUCCUGUUGGUCCUCUUCCUUGAUUCACGUCUGGAUUGAUUUGGAAUUUGUGUAGUCUUGUUCUUGAAGAAAAAUGUCUCCUUCCUCCCUUUGACGUAGAAACUGAUCUUGGCAGCACUAGCGUAGAUGAUAGCUCCCGUGGUGUUUAAGAAUGGCCUCCCUAAGAUGAUAGGUGCUCUCUCAUCAUUUCCGGUCUCUACCACUACGAAGUCUGCUAGAGCAUAUAAGGUACCAACUCGGACGCAAAGGUUCUUCAAUAUUCCCUUUGGAAAAGUUAUCGUCUGAUCUGCAAACUGCAAACACAUGGUUGUCUCUAAUAAAGGAUACGUAAAGAAUUUUUCAUAGAGUACCCUGGGUAUAAUGUUGACGCUAGAGCCAAAGUCGCAGAGUGCUUCUGGAACGUCCACCAUGCCAAUGGAGAUCGGGAUGACGGGGCGUCCUGGAUCGCCUCUCUUGACCGGCAGAAGGUCAGUAGAGAAUUCAGUGACGGGGUUACUCCAAUUAUUACCUCCAUCAAACAUGUCUACAAGAUUUGCAGAUUCUAAUCCUUCCGGUUGUGAUGGUAUACCGGGGUUAGUUGUAGGAACAGUAGCAACUAUUUGAUUUAACUGAGAUUCAAUCAUUUUAUUAAAGCUAAUUUGAUUCUUGAUGGCAGUAGAGAAAUUAUCCAUUCUAUUAUUUAUAUUUUCUAGCAUUUUAUCAUUAGAUGCUAAUGUCUUAGAUAGGUUAUCCAUUAGCUUUCCUUGAUUAGACACUAACUCUCUCAAAGGUGGAAAAUUAUUAUUAUUGUUGUAAGAAUUGUUACCUUGAUAAUUACCUGAGUAGUUAGGCCUCUGUUGAUUCCAACCUUGAUUUUGUUGAGGACGGUUGUAGUAGUAGUAGUUGUUGUUGUUGAUGUAGUUCACAUCCUCAAGUAUCUCAGGGCAGUGAUUGCCUGAGUGUCCAGUGUCUCCAC
Molecule: long non-coding RNA, 24312 nt
Filed under: Sorghum bicolor (sorghum)
Lineage: Eukaryota; Viridiplantae; Streptophyta; Magnoliopsida; Poales; Poaceae
Description: long non-coding RNA (SBIC_LNC008846)
Source: RNAcentral